This 1572-nucleotide ribosomal RNA is filed under the name Triticum aestivum (bread wheat). RNAcentral describes it as "partial small subunit ribosomal RNA". The record is from RNAcentral. Lineage: Eukaryota; Viridiplantae; Streptophyta; Magnoliopsida; Poales; Poaceae.
AUGGAGGACCUGACGUCCCUCGUCAACAAGCUGCAGCUUGCCUGCACCACUCUCGCCGACAACGACGUGGGGAGCGCCCUCCCCACUGACUGGGACGAGCUGCCCUUCAUCGCCGUCAUGGGAGGCCAGGGUUCCGGCAAGUCAUCACUGCUUGAGGCUAUUGUUGGAAAGGAUUUCCUACCCAGGGGUUCAGCCAUUGCCACCCGUCGCCCUUUGAUUGUGCAUCUAUUUAAAACUGAAGAAGGAACCAAAUAUGCAAAGUUCUUGCAUCAACCCGACAAAACGUAUGAAGAUUUUGCUGAAGUCAGUAUGGAGAUAGUUGAUGAAACUGACCGAGAAACCGGCUCUCCCUAUGGAAUAUCAUCUGUCCCCAUCCGUUUAAGCAUAUUUUCCCCAAACGUUGUGAAUCUGACUCUAAUUGAUCUUCCUGGGCUUACUAAAAUUGCUGUUGACGAUGGGUCAGUCAGUAUAGUUCAGGAAAUUGAAAACAUGGUUCGAGCAUUCAUCGAAAAGCCCAAUUGUAUCAUUCUCGCCAUUUCUUCAGCCGACCAGGAUCUUUCAAAUUCUGAAAUAGUCAAUAUUUCACGGGAAGUUGACCCAAAAGGUGAAAGAACCCUUGGUGUACUCACCAAAAUUGAUCUGAUGGAGAAUCGAGCAAGUGUUGUUAAUAUACUGGAAGGAAGAUCUUGCCGGUUCCACUUUCCAUGGGUUGGUGUUGUCAACCGAUCCCAGAAAGACAUUAACAUCAACAUGGACAUAAUUUCUGCCAGGUGUAGAGAGCGUGAAUAUUUUGGUAACACACCAGAAUACAAGCAUCUCGCUCAUAGAAUGGGAUCCGAACAUUUGAUCAGAAGUUUGGGAAAGCAUUUGGAAUCUUAUAUUAAAACAAGAGUAGGUGGUUAUCUGUUCACUAAAAGCUCCAUCAAAUCUACAGUGAUAAAGAAAAGCAUGCUGCAAAGCUAUACGCUCAGAGCCUAUGGUACAUUUCCCACGUACCACGUGCGUACGGAAGGCGAGCCACAUGACAUGUACUUUGAAUGCACAGUGCACGUGCAAAGCCACAAGUUCGUUUCAGCAACACGUCACCGCCGUCGCAAAGAUGCGGAGGAGGAUGCUUCGGAUGUUGCCUACACAGCAUUGAUGGGAAAUGAGACGCUAGAGACUUUACUUGGGUUGCUUAACAAGGAUACAAUAUGCAAGGUUGGACUUCUGCUACAAUAUGCAUGCAAGAAGAAGGUUGCAGACCCAGUGUAUGCGUCCUCCAAGGUGGCUGCAGGGAUCCAAAGGACACUCUGGCUUUCCACAGUUGUCUUGGAAGACAAGACUUAUAUUGGGGAGGUUGCAACUACUAAGCGUCUGUCAAUUCAGAAAGCUGCUUCCGCAGCCACGUCCUCAAUGCUUGAGGCCGGAGAUGACGUGAUGAUCAAGUUGCUUCUUGCCAAGAGGCUCAAGACCGAGGUGCCCAGGAGAAAGAGAGACCGAGGUGCCCAGGAAGAAGAUAGACUGUACUCCCUCCGGUCCUUUUUACUCCGUAUAUUAAAUUUGUGUCAAGUCAAACUGUACAAAGUUUGA